UUAGGAAUCGUACACAAUGGACGAAAGUCUGAUGUCGUGACGCCGCGUGAAGGAAGAAGGUCUUCGGAUUGUAAACUUCUUUUAUAUGGGAAGAUUAUGACUUUACCAUAAGAAUAAGCAUCGGCUAACUCCGUGCCAGAAGCCUCGGUAAUACGGAGGAUGCAAGCGUUAUCCGGUUUUAUUGGGCGUAAAGAGCGCGUAGGCGGCCUAUUAAGUCUGAUUUUAAAUAUUACGGCUCAACCGUAAGCAUGGAUCGGAAACUGAUUGGCUUGAGUAUUUGCAGGGGUAAGCGGAAUCUGCGGUGUAGGGGUAAAAUCCAUUGAUAUCGCAGAGAACACCAAUGGCGAAGGCAGCUUACUAGGCAUUCACUGACGCUGAGGCGCGAAAGCGUGGGUAGCGAACGGG
Molecule: ribosomal RNA, 405 nt
Filed under: uncultured bacterium
Lineage: Bacteria
Description: bacterial SSU rRNA
Rfam family: Bacterial small subunit ribosomal RNA
Source: RNAcentral